This 453-nucleotide ribosomal RNA is filed under the name uncultured bacterium. RNAcentral describes it as "bacterial SSU rRNA". It matches the Rfam family "Bacterial small subunit ribosomal RNA", at positions 340 to 786 of the family's 1533-position model. The record is from RNAcentral.
UACGGAAGGCAGCAGUGGGGAAUAUUGCACAAUGGGCGCAAGCCUGAUGCAGCCAUGCCGCGUGUAUGAAAAAGGCCUUCGGGUUGUAAAGUACUUUCAGUCGUGAGGAAGGUGUUAAGGUUAAUAACCUUAGCAAUUGACGUUAGCGACAGAAGAAGCACCGGCUAACUCCGUGCCAGCAGCCGCGGUAAUACGGAGGGUGCGAACGUUAAUCGGAAUUACUGGGCGUAAAGGGCACGCAGGCGGUUAAUUAAGUUGGAUGUGAAAUCCCCGGGCUUAACCUGGGAAUGGCAUUCAAGACUGGUUAGCUAGAGUCUUGUAGAGGGGGUAGAAUUCCAUGUGUAGCGGUGAAAUGCGUAGAGAUGUGGAGGAAUACCGGUGGCGAAGGCGGCCCCUGGACAAAGACUGACGCUCAUGUGCGAAAGCGUGGGGAGCAAACAGGGAUUAGAUACC